UAGGGAAUCUUCGGCAAUGGGGGGAACCCUGACCGAGCAACGCCGCGUGAGUGAAGAAGGUUUUCGGAUCGUAAAGCUCUGUUGUUAAGGAAGAACGAGUGUGAGAAUGGAAAGUUCAUACUGUGACGGUACUUAACCAGAAAGGGACGGCUAACUACGUGCCAGCAGCCGCGGUAAUACGUAGGUCCCGAGCGUUGUCCGGAUUUAUUGGGCGUAAAGCGAGCGCAGGCGGUUAGAUAAGUCUGAAGUUAAAGGCAGUGGCUCAACCAUUGUAGGCUUUGGAAACUGUUUAACUUGAGUGCAGAAGGGGGGAGUGGAAUUCCAUGUGUAGCGGUGAAAUGCGUAGAUAUAUGGAGGAACACCGGUGGCGAAAGCGGCUCUCUGGUCUGUAACUGCCGCUGAGGCUCGAAAGCGUGGGUAGCAAACAGG
This 429-nucleotide ribosomal RNA is filed under the name Bacteroidota bacterium. RNAcentral describes it as "Bacteroidetes bacterium partial 16S ribosomal RNA". It matches the Rfam family "Bacterial small subunit ribosomal RNA", at positions 355 to 776 of the family's 1533-position model. Lineage: Bacteria; Pseudomonadati; Bacteroidota. The record is from RNAcentral.